AUUGAACGCUGGCGGCAUGCCUUACACAUGCAAGUCGAACGGCAGCACGGGUGCUUGCACCUGGUGGCGAGUGGCGAACGGGUGAGUAAUACAUCGGAACGUACCUUAUCGUGGGGGAUAACGCAGCGAAAGCUGUGCUAAUACCGCAUACGCCCUGAGGGGGAAAGCGGGGGAUCGCAAGACCUCGCGCGAUUAGAGCGGCCGAUGCCUGAUUAGCUUGUUGGUGGGGUAAAAGCCCACCAAGGCGACGAUCAGUAGCUGGUCUGAGAGGACGAUCAGCAACACUGGGACUAAAAGACGGCCGAGACUCAUACGGGAGGCGGGAGUGGGGAAUUUUGGACAAUGGGGGCAACCCUGAACCAGAAAUGCCGCGUGAGUGAAGAAGGCCUUCGGGUGGUAAAGCGCUUUUGUCAGGGAAGAAACACCGGCUCUAACACAGUCUGGGAAUGACGGUACCUGAAGAAUAAGCACAGGCUAACUACGUGCCAGCAGCCGCCGUAA
RNAcentral lists this ribosomal RNA (501 nucleotides) under uncultured bacterium. RNAcentral describes it as "partial 16S ribosomal RNA". It matches the Rfam family "Bacterial small subunit ribosomal RNA", at positions 29 to 523 of the family's 1533-position model. The record is from RNAcentral.